UACGGAGGGCGCAAGCGUUUUUCGGAAUUACUGGGCGUAAAGCGCGUGCAGGCGGUCGAGUAAGUCGGUUGUGAAAGCCCCAGGCUCAACUUGGGAAUUGCAUCCGAAACUGCCCGGCUAGAGUCCCGGAGAGGAAGGCGGAACUCCCAGUGUAGGAGUGAAAUCCGUAGAUAUUGGGAAGAACACCGGCGGCGAAGGCGGCCUUCUGGACGGUGACUGACGCUGAGACGCGAAAGCGUGGGGAGCAAACAGG
This 253-nucleotide ribosomal RNA is filed under the name uncultured bacterium. RNAcentral describes it as "partial 16S ribosomal RNA". It matches the Rfam family "Bacterial small subunit ribosomal RNA", at positions 524 to 776 of the family's 1533-position model. The record is from RNAcentral.